GAUGAACGCUAGCUACAGGCUUAACACAUGCAAGUCGCAGGGUAACAUGAGGAAAGCUUGCUUUCCUUGAUGACGACUGGCGCACGGGUGAGUAACGCGUAUCCAACCUUCCCAUAACUACGGGAUAACCCGUUGAAAGACGGCCUAAUACCGUAUGAUAUCGUUUGCUGACAUCAAAUAACGAUUAAAGGUUUAGCGGUUAUGGAUGGGGAUGCGUCUGAUUAGCUUGUUGGCGGGGUAACGGCCCACCAAGGCGACGAUCAGUAGGGGUUCUGAGAGGAAGCUCCCCCACAUUGGAACUGAGACACGGUCCAAACUCCUACGGGAGGCAGCAGUGAGGAAUAUUGGUCAAUGGGCGAGAGCCUGAACCAGCCAAGUAGCGUGCAGGACGACGGCCCUAUGGGUUGUAAACUGCUUUUAUGUGGGGAUAAAGUGCGUGACGUGUCAUGCAUUGCAGGUACCACAUGAAUAAGGACCGGCUAAUUCCGUG
Molecule: ribosomal RNA, 490 nt
Filed under: uncultured bacterium
Lineage: Bacteria
Description: partial 16S ribosomal RNA
Rfam family: Bacterial small subunit ribosomal RNA
Source: RNAcentral